Molecule: long non-coding RNA, 1557 nt
Organism: Macaca mulatta (Rhesus monkey)
Lineage: Eukaryota; Metazoa; Chordata; Mammalia; Primates; Cercopithecidae
Source: Ensembl
CUCGCGGGGGAUGUGCUAAGGACGGCCUGAGGCAGGGCCACUCCACACCCGCCAGCGCCCAGGCCACACAGACACAGAACGCAAGAGAGAGACUGACCCACCCACGAACCGGUACCCAUAGACGCAGAGACCGAGGCAGAAAUGACGGGAUCUGCCGCAGAUCGGCCAGGAGCCGGGACAGACAGCGGCUCCGCAGACUGUGGAGCAGCAUCAGCCGCGCUGUAAACAAGAGGGAAACGCCAAGGGCAUUACAGAGGACGUCAGCCCUGCCAUCACCGGGCUGGGGAAACAAUGCCAACCAUGGCUGGUCUCCAGGUUCACAGUGAUAGGGGAAAUAAACCCUUAUUUGUCUAAGCCAUUGUGAUCUGUUUUCCUUUUUUUUUUUUUUUUUUUUUUCAGCCAAACACCUUACAGAAGAGGGAUAUUUGUUAAAAUUCAGAAGGGGAGGGAAAGAAGAGACUGCGCAGGAAACCGUGGUGGGUAAAUGUCAAAGAAUUUGUUUGCAGGUGGGAGGGGCCUGAGCACGAUUUUGUCACAAUAGCAGAUUGAGCACAGGCACAGGGCUUUAUACUGAUCAACGUGUUUUAAAAAAUAUUUUGUAGGGGCCGGGCGCGGUGGCUCAAGCCUGUAAUCCCAGCACUUUGGGAGGCCGAGACGGGUGGAUCACGAGGUCAGGAGAUCGAGACCAUCCUGGCUAACACGGUGAAACCCCGUCUCUACUAAAAAUACAAAAAAAACGUAGCCGGGCGAGGUGGCAGGCGCCUGUAGUCCCAGCUACUCGGGAGGCUGAGGCAGAAGAAUGGCGUGAACCCGGGAGGCGGAGCUUGCAGUGAGCUGAGAUCCGGCCAUUGCACUCCAGCCUGGGUGACAGAGCGAGACUCCGUCUCAAAAAAAAAAAAAAAAAAUUUUGUAGGCCGGGCGCGGUGGUUCACUCCUGUAAUCCCAGCACUUUGGGAGGCCGAGGCGGGCGGAUCACAAGGUCAGGAGAUCGAGACCAUCCUGGCUAAUAAGGUGAAACCCCGUCUCUACCAAAAAUACAAAAAAUUAGCCAGGCGUGGUGGCGGGCUCCUGUAGUCCCAGCUACUGCAGAGGCUGAGGCAGGAGAAUCGCUUGAACUUGGGAGACGGAGGUUGCAGUGAGCUGAGAUCGCUCACUUGAGAUCGCGCCACUGCACUCCAGCCUGGCGACACAGCGAGACUCCAGUUCAAAAAAAAAGUAGAGACGGAGGUCUCACGAUGUUGACCAGGCUAGUCUCGGACUCCUCACCUCAAGCCAUCCUCAGGUCCAGGUCUCCCAAAGUGCUAGGAUUAAGGCCUGAGUCACCGCGCCCAGCAGAACGCAUUUAGUUCUCACUGUAACUUUCUGAGGCAGGCUGUGCUGUUAUCUUCACCACACAGAGGGAACUGUGGCUUAGACAAGAAAAGCGCCAGCCAGCCGGUGGUCAGGCAGGAUUUGAACUCAAGCACACGGUGCCCAUCCAGUCCCGAUGGACUCUGACUCCUCCGACAGCGGAGGGAGCGAGUCGCCUGGUGAACAAUGAGUGUCUCAGGGUCCCGA